Molecule: ribosomal RNA, 836 nt
Filed under: uncultured bacterium
Lineage: Bacteria
Description: bacterial SSU rRNA
Rfam family: Bacterial small subunit ribosomal RNA
Source: RNAcentral
ACAUGCAAGUCGAACGGUAACAGGCUUUUCGGAGUGCUGACGAGUGGCGCACGGGUGAGUAACGCGUGGAUAUCUGCCUAUGAGUGGGGGACAACUUUCGGAAACGGAAGCUAAUACCGCAUAUACUUUACGGAGUAAAGCAGGGGACCUUCGGGCCUUGUGCUCAUAGAUGAGUCCGCGUCAGAUUAGCUAGUUGGUAGGGUAAGAGCCUACCAAGGCGAUGAUCUGUAACUGGUUUGAGAGGAUGAUCAGUCACACUGGAACUGAGACACGGUCCAGACUCCUACGGGAGGCAGCAGUGGGGAAUUUUGCACAAUGGGCGCAAGCCUGAUGCAGCGAUGCCGCGUGUGGGAAGAAGGCUUUAGGGUUGUAAACCACUUUCAAUUGGGAAGAAGAGAUGAGGCUUAAUACGCUUCUGAUUUGACGGUACCUUUAGAAGAAGCACCGGCUAAUUUCGUGCCAGCAGCCGCGGUAAUACGAAAGGUGCAAGCGUUGUUCGGAUUUACUGGGCGUAAAGAGAUCGUAGGUGGUUUGUUAAGUUGGAUGUGAAAUCCCGGGGCUCAACCUCGGAACUGCAUCCAAAACUGACGGACUUGAGUUUGGGAGGGGUAAGCGGAAUUCCGUGUGUAGCAGUGAAAUGCGUAGAUAUACGGAGGAACACCUGAGGCGAAGGCGGCUUACUGGACCAAUACUGACACUGAGGAUCGAAAGCGUGGGUAGCAAACAGGAUUAGAUACCCUGGUAGUCCACGCCCUAAACGAUGUCAACUAGCCGUUGCGGGUAUCGACCCCUGCAGUGGCGCAGCUAACGCGAUAAGUUGACCGCCUGGGGAGUAC